Triticum aestivum (bread wheat) is the source of this 1248-nucleotide long non-coding RNA. RefSeq lists it as uncharacterized. Lineage: Eukaryota; Viridiplantae; Streptophyta; Magnoliopsida; Poales; Poaceae. The record is from RefSeq and is a predicted model, not a curated record. The transcript has 3 exons.
CCCUCCUUUUCUCGUCCUGUCUCCACCCCGUUCCACAGACUGCCCCCAAAUCUCGUUCUGCCUCGAAACCUAAAUCCUCCACCACCGCCGCCGCCGCCGCCGCUCGAGCCCUCUCUCGCCGCUCGUGCUCUCUCCCCGUCCGGCUACGUGCUCUCCUGGCGGCGAGUCUGUAGCCCCCUCUCCCGCUCGUUCUCCAGUGUCUCCACCGCCGACCCCACACCAUCCUGCCACGGCCACGCGCUCCAUUGUUGUUCCCCGGCUAGUGCUCUCUCCGGCCAGCCACCACGCGUAAGCUUCCAGCGAGGCUGACGCCACCCUGCCUGGCCCGUACUCCCCACUCUCCACCGUCGUAUCCACCAUCGCCAUCGAAGUACAGAAGAGAUCUUGGCGCCGGCGAGAGGGGGCUCGGGAUAGGGCUAGUGAGGGGCUUUGGAUUUAGAGGAGAAAAGAUGCCCUCGGUUCCUCCCCUUUCGGCCUUCCCCGGCCGGAUCUGCUCCCCUUCAUCCACCCCGCCUGAAUCCCCGAGCUCCUCCCUCAGGAAUGUUUGAAGAGAGUUAUCCCCUAUGGGCACAUGGAUAUUGCAUAAUCAGUCUUUUCAAGGGAAUAAUUUGCCUAAAGAAGGUGAAGCAAUCAGCUAAGCAAUGAAACUGGAGUCAAGUAAUGAGAAAUAUUCCAGUGGCAAUCAAGAGGUGAAUCGUAAACAUUCCGAAGGAGACAAGUCAUCCACCCAUCCAACAGAAAGUGUAGGCAGUUUAAGGCUAACAGCACUUGAUCUGGGCAAUAACAGCGCACCAGUUUCAUCUAGUUCUGUGCAUAAGAAGAUGUUCAAGCUGGAGGAUGUGGCGAUGGGAAUAUGGAUCAAUGAGAUGAAGGAAGGCUUUGAUGUCAAUUACGAGAAAACUAGAUACCCACCAAGAUACAUCAUAGAAAGAUAUGUCGGUCGGGAAAGGGUUUUCCCGUCUGGACUUUCCCCAACAGACAGGGUCGGUCGGCAAUAGGCUUUCCCGACCGACUGUCUAUCGGCGUAACAUGUAUUCCCGACCAACCUGGCUGUCGGGGAUGUAGUGUUGUGGUGUAGUGUGUACGAAGAAAAUCAUAUUGUUUCAAGUGUAUUUUUAUUAAGGAUUCAUGUUUCUUACUAUAGUUUAUUAAGUUGUAUUUGAAGACUCUCCAAGUCUAUAACAUUAGAUUUUAUAUGGUAAACCGUGCUAACAUAUAAAAAAGGGCUAGAAACAUUUGUGUUGAAAA